AUGAGGAUAUCACAAAUUCUUCUUGUGUUCAAGAAGGCAGAAGAUGAAAAACUUUGUAAUGAAAAAGAAGGAUCAAAAAUGGCCAACAUGGAGUUAAGACCUAAGGGGCUGACUCUCCUCCUUGUGACCUGUCUGCCAAUGGGAGAAGCAGUCAUGGGACAUCCUUCAGAUCUCCAGGCAGGUCCCCACCUACCUAGGACCCAGGCAUUCACCGAGGACACGCCCCUAAAGACCAUGUGUCUGCAGCCUUUCCCUCCCUCUUCAAGUUUUGGCUACUCCUCUAUGGGAUAUAUAUUUGUAUACAUUUCUAACCUUGUCACUUCUCUAGUUACUUCUAGUGUAGAAGCACUCAUGGGAGUCACCCAGAUGCCACUGUAAACUUGGUAACUAUUCUAGCCUGAAGUCCUGGACAUUGCCUAUAGUCAAUACCUCUCUCCUAGGGACAGCUCUACAACAAUUCUCAGCUCUGAAGAAGCUACAGAAGACUGAGACCAUCACCCCUUUUCCCUUAGAUAUUUGAAGGGGGGAAGUGUCAUAGGCACUGUAUACCCAGAAACUCAGGCAGACUAUUGUCAGGGAAAUUCCUUUGCUCCCUUACAUCCUCGUGAUGCUGAUCAUACAAGGCUAGUUAAUCACUGAGUAGGCUUUGUCAAGGAUCGCAUUAAUUCAGUCCAGCUCAUGGUCCUUAGACUGCAUUAUCAACCCCUUGCAACUUGCCCAGCCCCUUAUGAUGAGGCCAUCUCCAUGGAUGAUUCAUCAUGUUUCAUGAAAAGAAGUGGGGAAUGAAGGAGGUUAAAUGACCGCCCCCUGGGGCAUCAGGGGUAAACUCUUGCCCAAGUCAGUAUAACCAUUCCAGCAGCUAAGCAGACACUCCCUGUAAGGUAAACAUCUCAAUCCAAAAUAUUCUGUUAUUCACAUUUCAUUCAAGCCUCCCAUGCUAUAUAAAGUAUGCCCCUAGCUGAGCCGGGUGUGGCUCCUCUUUUGGGGCAACCCUAGCAUGCUGGUAAUAAAGGUGAUCCAUUGCCUAC
RNAcentral lists this long non-coding RNA (1028 nucleotides) under Monodelphis domestica (gray short-tailed opossum). RNAcentral describes it as "lncRNA (ENSMODG00000045394.1)". Lineage: Eukaryota; Metazoa; Chordata; Mammalia; Didelphimorphia; Didelphidae. The record is from RNAcentral.